Molecule: ribosomal RNA, 666 nt
Filed under: Triticum aestivum (bread wheat)
Lineage: Eukaryota; Viridiplantae; Streptophyta; Magnoliopsida; Poales; Poaceae
Description: partial small subunit ribosomal RNA
Source: RNAcentral
AUGAAGCUAAACGCAGAUGGAGCAUGGUGGGUGGUCACCGAAUAUGCCAAAGAACAUAACCACGACCUGAUAAAGAAGUUUGACCUAGGAAAAUUUCUGAGCACCCACAGAGGAUUCAGUCCUCAUGAGAAGAAAUUCAUAAAGUUGCUACAUGAUUGUAAAAUCGGUCCAUCAAGAAUGGUCCAGAUACUAUCCCUGAUCCAUAGCAAAAAUGGAAGUCUGAGUAGCAUGCCCUACAUACCAACAGACGUCACAAACCUAAACGCAAAGUACCAUAGAGAGAGCAGGUUAGCUGACGUAGAAGACACGAUCGCCUACUUCAAAGAGAAAUCAAAAGCUGAUCUUGAUUUCUUCUACAGGAUAAGAUUGGACGAUGAGGACCGUGUCAAAAACAUGCAUGUAGGAGGUCUUUUCAUUGGCAGUUCACAGGCACUGCAGACUACACAAUGCAGCGAGGGUUUCAAUGCUGUUUUGAAGCAUUACGUGAGCUUUGGCAACUCAUUGCUGCAGUUUGCCAAGCAAUAUUCAGCUUUGCAACAGAAAGUUCUGGGAUCUGAGCUACAGCAAGAAGCAAACACCGCACUCAAGCAACCUAAAUUUCUAACAUAUUUACAGAUGGAGAGGCAGAUGAGCAAGAUAUACACCAACAAGAUAUUUAACAAGUAA